This 80-nucleotide ribosomal RNA is filed under the name Hammondia hammondi. RNAcentral describes it as "partial 5.8S ribosomal RNA". It matches the Rfam family "5.8S ribosomal RNA", at positions 20 to 99 of the family's 154-position model. Rfam says of the family: 5.8S ribosomal RNA (5.8S rRNA) is a component of the large subunit of the eukaryotic ribosome. Lineage: Eukaryota; Apicomplexa; Conoidasida; Eucoccidiorida; Sarcocystidae. The record is from RNAcentral.
CUUGGCUCGCGCAACGAUGAAGGACGCAGCGAACUGCGAAACGCAAUGUGAAUUGCAGAAUUCAGUGAAUCAUCAGAUUU